GUCACUGGUUCCUGCUGAUUGUAGCUAAGAAGGAAUUUCAAAUUAAAGCGAUAGGGCUUGUGAUGUGAUAGAAAAUACCAUAUCUGAUGAGUGCGGUCAGCUAUUAAUGUAAAAAAAUUAAAAAUACCUUAGCCACGGAAGGCCACGGUUCAUUAAAACCGCUUACUCAUCUGAAGUCGGGGGUGAAGUGAGCCAAUGCCGUUAUCAGUCUUUUGCUGCAGGGCUGUUCGAUCGCAAGGUGUGCAGUGAG
Molecule: long non-coding RNA, 250 nt
Organism: Varroa destructor (honeybee mite)
Lineage: Eukaryota; Metazoa; Arthropoda; Arachnida; Mesostigmata; Varroidae
Source: RefSeq, a predicted model, not a curated record